AGUUUUAUAUUUUAUUGAAAAUUUUAAAUUGCAAAUUUAAAGAUGGUUAAUUUACCUAAAACUU
Molecule: transfer RNA, 64 nt
Filed under: Dryodurgades formosana
Lineage: Eukaryota; Metazoa; Arthropoda; Insecta; Hemiptera; Cicadellidae
Description: tRNA-Cys
Source: RNAcentral